Molecule: ribosomal RNA, 464 nt
Filed under: uncultured bacterium
Lineage: Bacteria
Description: partial 16S ribosomal RNA
Rfam family: Bacterial small subunit ribosomal RNA
Source: RNAcentral
AUGCACGCUGGCGGCGUGCUUAACACAUGCAAGUCGAACGGAAAGGCUCCUGCUUGCAGGGGUACUCGAGUGGCGAACGGGUGAGUAACACGUGGGUGAUCUGCCCUGCACUUCGGGAUAAGCCUGGGAAACUGGGUCUAAUACCGGAUAGGACGAUGGUUUGGAUGCCAUUGUGGAAAGUUUUUCGGUGUGGGAUGAGCUCGCGGCCUAUCAGCUUGUUGGUGGGGUAAUGGCCUACCAAGGCGUCGACGGGUAGCCGGCCUGAGAGGGUGUACGGCCACAUUGGGACUGAGAUACGGCCCAGACUCCUACGGGAGGCAGCAGUGGGGAAUAUUGCACAAUGGGCGCAAGCCUGAUGCAGCGACGCCGCGUGGGGGAUGACGGCCUUCGGGUUGUAAACUCCUUUCGCUAGGGACGAAGCGCAAGUGACGGUACCUGGAGAAGAAGCACCGGCUAACUACGUG